This 878-nucleotide ribosomal RNA is filed under the name Glutamicibacter nicotianae. RNAcentral describes it as "bacterial SSU rRNA". It matches the Rfam family "Bacterial small subunit ribosomal RNA", at positions 71 to 962 of the family's 1533-position model. The record is from RNAcentral. Lineage: Bacteria; Bacillati; Actinomycetota; Actinomycetes; Micrococcales; Micrococcaceae.
AAGCCCUGCUUGCAGGGUGGAUUAGUGGCGAACGGGUGAGUAACACGUGAGUAACCUGCCCCCGACUCUGGGAUAAGCCCGGGAAACUGGGUCUAAUACCGGAUAUGACUUCCUACUGCAUGGUGGGUUGUUGAAAGAUUUAUCGGUGGGGGAUGGACUCGCGGCCUAUCAGCUUGUUGGUGAGGUAAUGGCUCACCAAGGCGACGACGGGUAGCCGGCCUGAGAGGGUGACCGGCCACACUGGGACUGAGACACGGCCCAGACUCCUACGGGAGGCAGCAGUGGGGAAUAUUGCACAAUGGGCGCAAGCCUGAUGCAGCGACGCCGCGUGAGGGAUGACGGCCUUCGGGUUGUAAACCUCUUUCAGUAGGGAAGAAGCGAAAGUGACGGUACCUGCAGAAGAAGCGCCGGCUAACUACGUGCCAGCAGCCGCGGUAAUACGUAGGGCGCAAGCGUUAUCCGGAUUUAUUGGGCGUAAAGAGCUCGUAGGCGGUUUGUCGCGUCUGCCGUGAAAGUCCGAGGCUCAACCUCGGAUCUGCGGUGGGUACGGGCAGACUAGAGUGAUGUAGGGGAGACUGGAAUUCCUGGUGUAGCGGUGAAAUGCGCAGAUAUCAGGAGGAACACCGAUGGCGAAGGCAGGUCUCUGGGCAUUUACUGACGCUGAGGAGCGAAAGCAUGGGGAGCGAACAGGAUUAGAUACCCUGGUAGUCCAUGCCGUAAACGUUGGGCACUAGGUGUGGGGGACAUUCCACGUUUUCCGCGCCGUAGCUAACGCAUUAAGUGCCCCGCCUGGGGAGUACGGCCGCAAGGCUAAAACUCAAAGGAAUUGACGGGGCCCGCACAAGCGGCGGAGCAUGCGGAUUAAUUCGAUGCAACGC